CCUCCUUUUCUUUGCAGGGACUGGGCUUGUGGUCCCACUCCCCGUAAUGUACAGAGGAGUAAUGUACAGCUUUGGUGGGGUAGCCUGGGAGCUGACAGAG
Molecule: small nucleolar RNA, 100 nt
Organism: Callithrix jacchus (white-tufted-ear marmoset)
Lineage: Eukaryota; Metazoa; Chordata; Mammalia; Primates; Cebidae
Source: Ensembl